Molecule: unclassified non-coding RNA, 233 nt
Filed under: Hevea brasiliensis (rubber tree)
Lineage: Eukaryota; Viridiplantae; Streptophyta; Magnoliopsida; Malpighiales; Euphorbiaceae
Source: RNAcentral
GGCGAAUCGCAGAUUCGAAAUGCCUCGAAUCAAUCACCGCUCACGACGAUGCCGUGAACGCCGUCGCAUCAGGAUUGGAAAGCCUCGUGUUCACCGGAUCCGCGGACGGAACAGUGAAGGUCUGGCGGAGAGAGUUGCAGGGGAAAGGAACGAAGCAUUUUCUGGUUCAGGUGUUGCUGAAGCAAGAAAAUGCCAUAACGGCGUUGUCUGUGAACCGGUCAUCGGCGAUUUUG